RNAcentral lists this ribosomal RNA (250 nucleotides) under uncultured bacterium. RNAcentral describes it as "partial 16S ribosomal RNA". It matches the Rfam family "Bacterial small subunit ribosomal RNA", at positions 524 to 773 of the family's 1533-position model. The record is from RNAcentral. RNAcentral also lists the same sequence under 1 other name.
UACAGAGGGUGCAAGCGUUAAUCGGAAUGACUGGGCGUAAAGGGCACGUAGGCGGAUAGAUGUGUCAUAGGUGAAAUCCCCGGGCUCAACCUGGGAACUGCCUGUGAAACUGUGUAUCUAGAAUAUAGGAGAGGGAAGUGGAAUUUCCGGUGUAGCGGUGAAAUGCGUAGAUAUCGGAAAGAACACCAGUGGCGAAGGCGACUUCCUGGUCUAAUAUUGACGCUGAGGUGCGAAAGCGUGGGGAGCAAAC